AUUGAACGCUGGCGGCAGGCCUAACACCUGCAAGUCGAACGAGUGGCGGACGGGUGAGUAAUAUCUGGGAAACUGUCUGAUGGAGGGGGAUAACAACUGGAAACGGUAGCUAAUACCGCAUACCAUUGGAUGUGCCCAGAUGGGAGUAGCUAGUCGGUGGGUUACCGGCUCACCUAGGCGACGAUCCCUAGCUGGUCUGAGAGGAUGACCAGCCACACUGGAACUGAGACACGGUCCAGACUCCUACGGUGGGCAGCAGUGGGGAAUAUUGCACAAUGGGCGCAAGCCUGAUGCAGCCAUGCCGCGUGUAUGAAGAAGGCCUUCGGGUUGUAAAGUACUUUCAGCGAGGAGGCGUUACUCGCAGAAGAAGCACCGGCGAACUCCGUGCCAGCAGCCGCGGUAAUAC
RNAcentral lists this ribosomal RNA (406 nucleotides) under uncultured bacterium. RNAcentral describes it as "partial 16S ribosomal RNA". It matches the Rfam family "Bacterial small subunit ribosomal RNA", at positions 30 to 526 of the family's 1533-position model. The record is from RNAcentral.